This 433-nucleotide ribosomal RNA is filed under the name uncultured bacterium. Its description in RNAcentral is "partial 16S ribosomal RNA". It matches the Rfam family "Bacterial small subunit ribosomal RNA", at positions 29 to 507 of the family's 1533-position model. The record is from RNAcentral.
AACGAACGCUGGCGGCAGGCCUAACACAUGCAAGUCGAGCGAGGACUUCGGUUCUAGCGGCGGACGGGUGAGUAACGCGUGGGAAUGUGCCCUUCUCUACGGAAUAGCCCUGGGAAACUGGGAGUAAUACCGUAUACGCCCUAUUGGGGAAAGAUUUAUCGGAGAAGGAUCAGCCCGCGUUGGAUUAGGUAGUUGGUAGGGUAAUGGCCUACCAAGCCGACGAUCCAUAGCUGGUUUGAGAGGAUGAUCAGCCACACUGGGACUGAGACACGGCCCAGACUCCUACGGGAGGCAGCAGUGGGGAAUCUUAGAAAAUGGGGGCAACCCUGAUCUAGCCAUGCCGCGUGAGUGAUGAAGGCCUUAGGGUUGUAAAGCUCUUUCAGCUGGGAAGAUAAUGACGGUACCAGCAGAAGAAGCCCCGGCUAACUCCGUG